CCUACGGGAGGCAGCAGUCGAGGAUCUUCGGCAAUGGGCGCAAGCCUGACCGAGCGACGCCGCGUGAGCGAUGAAGGCCAUUAGGUUGUAAAGCUCUGUCGAGGGGGAACAAGCCGCAAGGUUGAGUGAUCCCUGGAGGAAGCACGGGCUAAGUUCGUGCCAGCAGCCGCGGUAAGACGAACCGUGCGAACGUUGUUCGGAAUCAUUGGGCUUAAAGGGCGCGUAGGCGGGUUGACAAGUCCGGGGUGAAAGCCUCCAGCUCAACUGGAGAAGAGCCCCGGAUACUGUCAGUCUGGAGAGGGAUAGGGGCACAUGGAACUUCCGGUGGAGCGGUGAAAUGCGUAGAGAUCGGAAGGAACGCCGGUGGCGAAAGCGAUGUGCUGGAUCUUUUCUGACGCUGAGGCGCGAAAGCUAGGGGAGCAAACGGGAUUAGAUACCCCGGUAGUCCUAGCCCUAAACGAUGGGUACUGGGUUGCGGGUCAGACAUAGACUCGCAGCCGGAGCAAAAGUGUUAAGUACCCCGCCUGGGGAGUAUGGUCGCAAGGCUGAAACUCAAAGGAAUUGACGG
Molecule: ribosomal RNA, 568 nt
Filed under: uncultured Planctomycetota bacterium
Lineage: Bacteria; Pseudomonadati; Planctomycetota
Description: bacterial SSU rRNA
Rfam family: Bacterial small subunit ribosomal RNA
Source: RNAcentral